CUAGGCAGGAAUGAUUUCUCUUCCAAAACAAAGGUAUCUCGAAUUUCAGUUAGGGGUGAUGAAAUCUCAGGAUGAACAACUGAAUGAACUCUGAUUUCAGGUUACCUGCUAGCUCCCAAGGCUCACAUUUGUAGAGGUCUACUUCAGGGAUUAUGUCGAGCUCGAUGCUUAGCCCAUGGACCUUCCUCUUGAGAAGCUUGGUCUCUUUGAAGUGUCAUAGAAGAGAACAUGACUAAAGGUUAGUGUGUUCUAGUAACAUGUCACUAUGUAUCGGGAUCAGCGCUGCAAAACAGAAAGUUUAUGGAAGUUGAUAUGCCUGUUGAAAUGGUGGAACAGUUCAAAGGUGGUUCCAAGGUGUUGUGUUGACAUCAAGGCACACUCUGAACAUUGCAGAGGCAACACGCUUGCAACAAAGUUUCACGAUGAAGACGCUUGUAAGACUACAGAUGCAAUUACGUAAGAUUAGCAGAACCAGGUGCUAUAGCUACAUUUUGGAGCCUCAUAUAACUUAACAGGACAGGUAUAGUAGUCAUAAUUGUCUUCAAUUUCCAUUCAUACGGUGCACUAUAUUU
Molecule: long non-coding RNA, 572 nt
Organism: Sorghum bicolor (sorghum)
Lineage: Eukaryota; Viridiplantae; Streptophyta; Magnoliopsida; Poales; Poaceae
Exons: 4
Source: RefSeq, a predicted model, not a curated record